RNAcentral lists this long non-coding RNA (231 nucleotides) under Elaeis guineensis (African oil palm). Its description in RNAcentral is "long non-coding RNA (EGUI_LNC056402)". The record is from RNAcentral. Lineage: Eukaryota; Viridiplantae; Streptophyta; Magnoliopsida; Arecales; Arecaceae.
CUGGAAGACGGUGACUGAUUCAAAGAUUUGAAAUCAGGUAGAGAAUCUGGUUUGAUCUUUAAAUCAAAUAGAUCACAUGUAGAAGCACACAAAUCCAAUGUAGAAGCAUUUUCUUCAAGUAUUUCAUCAUAAGGAGUUUUAUUAGCUUGGUUCAAAAUGAUUUUAUUUAAAUCUUUCAGAAACUCCUUUUCUAAUUGUGUUUCUGAAGGGUCAGGUGUUGAAGGUUCCUUA